GUUCUUGUAGUUGAAUAACAACGAUGGUUUUUCGAGUCAUCGGUCUUGGUUAGAGUCCUAGCAAGAAUU
Molecule: transfer RNA, 69 nt
Filed under: Trixiphichthys weberi (blacktip tripodfish)
Lineage: Eukaryota; Metazoa; Chordata; Actinopteri; Tetraodontiformes; Triacanthidae
Description: tRNA-Glu
Rfam family: tRNA
About the family: Transfer RNA (tRNA) molecules are approximately 80 nucleotides in length.
Source: RNAcentral